AUUGAACGCUGGCGGCAUGCUUUACACAUGCAAGUCGAACGGCAGCGCGGGCUUCGUCCUUGCCUCGAUUGGCGAACGGGUGAGUAAUACAUCUGUACGUGCCCCUUCUUGGUGGAUAGCUCUUCUUAAUCCGUAUUAAUACCGCAUACGACCUUAGUCUGAAAUCCGUGGAUCUUCGGACCCCUCCCUCUUUCCUCCUCCGAUGGCAGAUUUGCUAUUUGGUGUGGUAAAGGCCUACCAAGGCGACGAUCUGUAGCUGGUCUGAGAGGACGACCAGCCACACUGGAACUGAGACACGGACCAGACUCCUACGGGAGGAAGCAGUGGGGAAUUUUGGACAAUGGGCGAAAGCCUGAUGCAGCAAUGCCGCGUGUGUGAAGAAGGCCUUCGGGUUGUAAAGCACUUUUGGCGGGAAAGAAAAGGAGUGGGACAAUACGAAGGUUAGAUGACGGUACCCGCAGAAGAAGCACCGGCUAACUACGUG
This 484-nucleotide ribosomal RNA is filed under the name uncultured bacterium. RNAcentral describes it as "partial 16S ribosomal RNA". It matches the Rfam family "Bacterial small subunit ribosomal RNA", at positions 30 to 507 of the family's 1533-position model. The record is from RNAcentral.